CCUGCCGGGACCAUUAACCCAUUGGCUGCUGGCACCACCCCCACCUCCGCCUCCCGCGCACCUGCAUCUGUCAAUCCGUGGAAGUUCCCUGCUUUCAGUCCCUGAAUAGCAAAGGCUAUGCCUUGGCCAUCGCUGCUGGAAGAGACACGGCUCAGUGUUGGAUGAAUGUCCUGACUGUUUUCGCCCCAGAGAAUGAAAGGCGCCAACCGUCCUGGGAAAGGUGAGAAGUCAGCGUGGACAAGCUGGGGUGACCAUCACUGCAGAGCUACAGGCCAGCGUCCUCUUCGUGUCCUAGGGCUCGUUUUGUUCCUGGUCCUGCAGGACAGCCUGGGGUCACCGUCACUGCGGAGCUACAGGCCAGCGUCCUCUUCGUGUCCUAGGGCUCGUUUUGUCCCUGGUCCUGCAGGACAGCCUGGGGUCACCGUCACUGCGGAGCUACAGGCCAGCGUCCUCUUCGUGUCCUAGGGCUCGUUUUGUCCCUGGUCCUGCAGGACAGCAUGGCAGCGAUUGACCGAUUGACCAUUAGGACCUCUAUUUUUAAAUAAGGAGGGAGCUACCCGGCGUGGGGCUCCCGGGGCCCACACACUCACGGCACGUCCUUGAGUGUGUGG
RNAcentral lists this long non-coding RNA (611 nucleotides) under Homo sapiens (human). RNAcentral's name for it is "HSALNT0392204". Lineage: Eukaryota; Metazoa; Chordata; Mammalia; Primates; Hominidae. The record is from RNAcentral.